GCCUUCAUGGUGUAAUGGUAGCACACUCGGCGCGUAUUCGAGAGGUCCGGGUUCGAGUCCCGGCGAGGGCA
RNAcentral lists this transfer RNA (71 nucleotides) under Stegodyphus mimosarum. It matches the Rfam family "tRNA". Rfam says of the family: Transfer RNA (tRNA) molecules are approximately 80 nucleotides in length. Their secondary structure includes four short double-helical elements and three loops (D, anti-codon, and T loops). Lineage: Eukaryota; Metazoa; Arthropoda; Arachnida; Araneae; Eresidae. The record is from Rfam by way of RNAcentral.